This 403-nucleotide ribosomal RNA is filed under the name uncultured bacterium. RNAcentral describes it as "bacterial SSU rRNA". It matches the Rfam family "Bacterial small subunit ribosomal RNA", at positions 356 to 773 of the family's 1533-position model. The record is from RNAcentral.
GGGGAAUAUUGGGCAAUGGGCGAAAGCCUGACCCAGCAACGCCGCGUGAAGGAAGAAGGUCUUCGGAUUGUAAACUUCUUUUAUGAGGGACGAAGGACGUGACGGUACCUCAUGAAUAAGCCACGGCUAACUACGUGCCAGCAGCCGCGGUAAUACGUAGGUGGCAAGCGUUAUCCGGAUUUACUGGGUGUAAAGGGCGCGUAGGCAGGGAUGCAAGUCAGAUGUGAAAUCUAUGGGCUUAACCCAUAAACUGCAUUUGAAACUGUAUCUCUUGAGUGCUGGAGAGGUAGACGGAAUUCCUUGUGUAGCGGUGAAAUGCGUAGAUAUAAGGAAGAACACCAGUGGCGAAGGCGGUCUACUGGACAGUAACUGACGCUGAGGCGCGAGAGCGUGGGGAGCAAAC